UACGGAGGGGGCUAGCGUUAUUCGGAAUUACUGGGCGUAAAGCGCGCGUAGGCGGCUUUGUAAGUUAGAGGUGAAAGCCCGGGGCUCAACCCCGGAACUGCCUUUAAGACUGCAUCGCUUGAAUCCGGGAGAGGUGAGUGGAAUUCCGAGUGUAGAGGUGAAAUUCGUAGAUAUUCGGAAGAACACCAGUGGCGAAGGCGGCUCACUGGACCGGUAUUGACGCUGAGGUGCGAAAGCGUGGGGAGCAAACAGG
RNAcentral lists this ribosomal RNA (253 nucleotides) under uncultured bacterium. Its description in RNAcentral is "partial 16S ribosomal RNA". It matches the Rfam family "Bacterial small subunit ribosomal RNA", at positions 524 to 776 of the family's 1533-position model. The record is from RNAcentral.